AAGGCACGGCGAUAAGCCGAGUUCUGUCGUGAGUGAUUAUUUAUCUAAUCCAAAUUUCGCAAUUUGGCUCUAGCGAAGGGUUUAACAUAAGACUAAAACCAUCCCUUCUUGCUGCAAGUCGGGUUUAUAUAGCCGCCAUGCUUUCGCGUGGCGCUGGUGGGCUCUUACCCCGCCGUUUCACCAUCACCGCCGAAGCGGCAGUCUGCUUUCUGUUACACUAUCCCUUAGGUUUCCCUAGCCAUCCGUUAGAUGGGACUUUGUCUUAUAGCAGCUCGGACUUUCCUCUUUUAAACCGAAAUUUAAAAGCAAUCACUUGCCGUGCCGA
This 325-nucleotide non-coding RNA is filed under the name Campylobacter sp. RM16187. The record is from RNAcentral. RNAcentral also lists the same sequence under 1 other name. Lineage: Bacteria; Pseudomonadati; Campylobacterota; Epsilonproteobacteria; Campylobacterales; Campylobacteraceae.